UACGUAGGGUGCGAGCGUUAAUCGGAAUUACUGGGCGUAAAGCGUGCGCAGGCGGUUUUGCAAGCCGGAUGUGAAAUCCCCGGGCUUAACCUGGGAAUGGCAUUUGGGACUGCAAGGCUGGAGUGCGGCAGAGGAGACUGGAAUUCCUGGUGUAGCAGUGAAAUGCGUAGAUAUCAUGAGGAAGACCAGUGGCGAAGGCGGGUCUCUGGACAGUUCCUGACACUGAGACACGAAGGCCAGGGGAGCAAACGGG
RNAcentral lists this ribosomal RNA (253 nucleotides) under uncultured bacterium. RNAcentral's name for it is "partial 16S ribosomal RNA". It matches the Rfam family "Bacterial small subunit ribosomal RNA", at positions 524 to 776 of the family's 1533-position model. The record is from RNAcentral.